Molecule: ribosomal RNA, 468 nt
Filed under: uncultured bacterium
Lineage: Bacteria
Description: partial 16S ribosomal RNA
Rfam family: Bacterial small subunit ribosomal RNA
Source: RNAcentral
GACGAACGCUGGCGGCGUGCUUAACACAUGCAAGUCGAACGGAAAGGCCCUGCUUUUGUGGGGUGCUCGAGUGGCGAACGGGUGAGUAACACGUGAGUAACCUGCCCUUGACUUUGGGAUAACUUCAGGAAACUGGGGCUAAUACCGGAUAGGAGCUCCUGCUGCAUGGUGGGGGUUGGAAAGUUUCGGCGGUUGGGGAUGGACUCGCGGCUUAUCAGCUUGUUGGUGGGGUAGUGGCUUACCAAGGCUUUGACGGGUAGCCGGCCUGAGAGGGUGACCGGCCACAUUGGGACUGAGAUACGGCCCAGACUCCUACGGGAGGCAGCAGUGGGGAAUAGUGCACAAUGGGCGGAAGCCUGAUGCAGCAACGCCGCGUGCGGGAUGACGGCCUUCGGGUUGUAAACCGAUUUCGCCUGUGACGAAGCGUGAGUGACGGUAAUGGGUAAAGAAGCACCGGCUAACUACGUG